Molecule: non-coding RNA, 287 nt
Filed under: Caenorhabditis japonica
Lineage: Eukaryota; Metazoa; Nematoda; Chromadorea; Rhabditida; Rhabditidae
Description: Eukaryotic small subunit ribosomal RNA
Rfam family: Eukaryotic small subunit ribosomal RNA
Source: Rfam by way of RNAcentral
GUUGUGUGCUGCUGUACCGUACAUCCGCCUUGGCCGUACAGCAGUAUUAGGACUGACAGAUUGAAAGCUCUUUCUCGAUUUGGUGGUUGGUGGUGCAUGGCCGUUCUUAGUUGGUGGAGUGAUUUGUCUGGUUUAUUCCGAUAACGAGCGAGACUCUAGCCUGCUAAAUGUCGACGAAUCUUCGGGUUCGUAUAACUUCUUAGAGGGAUAAGCGGUGUUUAGCCGCACGAGAUUGAGCGAUAACAGGUCUGUGAUGCCCUUAGAUGUCCGGGCUGCACGCGUGCUAC